GACAGGUGGUGCAUGGUUGUCGUCAGCUCGUGUCGUGAGAUGUUGGGUUAAGUCCCGCAACGAGCGCAACCCUUAAGCUUAGUUGCCAUCAUUAAGUUGGGCACUCUAAGUUGACUGCCGGUGACAAACCGGAGGAAGGUGGGGAUGACGUCAAAUCAUCAUGCCCCUUAUGAUUUGGGCUACACACGUGCUACAAUGGACAAUACAAAGGGCAGCGAAACCGCGAGGUCAAGCAAAUCCCAUAAAGUUGUUCUCAGUUCGGAUUGUAGUCUGCAACUCGACUACAUGAAGCUGGAAUCGCUAGUAAUCGUAGAUCAGCAUGCUACGGUGAAUACGUUCCCGGGUCUUGUACACACCGCCCGUCACACCACGAGAGUUUGUAACACCCGAAGCCGGUGGA
RNAcentral lists this ribosomal RNA (400 nucleotides) under Staphylococcus aureus. Its description in RNAcentral is "bacterial SSU rRNA". It matches the Rfam family "Bacterial small subunit ribosomal RNA", at positions 1033 to 1434 of the family's 1533-position model. Lineage: Bacteria; Bacillati; Bacillota; Bacilli; Caryophanales; Staphylococcaceae. The record is from RNAcentral.